This is a long non-coding RNA of Vulpes vulpes (red fox), 1959 nucleotides long. NCBI's taxonomy places the organism in Eukaryota, Metazoa, Chordata, Mammalia, Carnivora, Canidae. The record is from Ensembl.
UGUCACCCUAUUGGGUCUCCCUUGAGGACUGUAUCGUAUCAGAUUCAUCUUUGUGUCCUAUGUUGUAACCAACUUUGCACAUUUCAGGUACUCAAUCAAUAUGUCUGGGAAGGAUAUGUGAAUAAGUGCUUUCUUAUAUUUGGCCAGGUCAGAAGAUGCCAGAAGUAGGAUGUCCAGACCCAACAACUACCCAAAGAGAGGAAACAGAGCUUCAAGAAGAAGGUGGUGGUAAAAUGCCAAGGGACAUUAGAAAGAAUUUCCUGCCCUUGGAAUUCUGGUAGCAGAGAGACAGAAAAGGAAGCCACUGAAAACCUUGAAAAGUUCAUUCAUGAGAUCAGAGGGGGACAGAAGCUGGACUACAAAAGCAAAAAGAAUAAAUGCAGUCCCUGCAGAUUCGGAAGCCUUGCCUAAUUGCUGAAGGGCAUUUCCCAAUCACUGAGAAUUUGGAGCUUGGCUUCAUCUGCUCACCAGGUUACAGUCUGUUAUGCUGUGGCAGCAUCGCCUAACUUCAAAUGAUGGAUUUCCUGCCAGAGCAACAUGAUUUCACCGGAACCCACUUCUCCUCCCCCUGGGGCAUUCCUCCCCCUACUUUUGGCAGACAGUGUGACCUCAGAAAUUUCUUUUGGGGCAAAGGAUGCCUUGGAGAGGUUUCCCUCACUUCCAUCAGAGAGGAGACCAGUCUGGAAAUGCCAAAUCCAGACCCACAGAAUGAAUUCAGAGAUACACUGCAGACCUCACAAAACAGAGGCCAAAACAGAGGAUUUUACUUCUCUUUAUUGACCAGCCAGCCUCAAAAAAAUAUCAUGUUCGUUUUCAUGAAUACAAUCUUUAAUUUGAAUGAUAAAUAUUUCUUGCACCUGCUCAAGCUCUUAAAUAUUUACAAGAAAUCUAAAAUGACUAACAGAUUCCAUCCAGCCUACCAGGCCUCCCUGCUUGAGGGUGAUCUCACCUCUCUCUGACCCCUCAUUCUCCCCCUACCAGCACCUACUGCAGCUCAGCUCAACCCAUCUACAAGUGACUCUGCUCUUUGCUGGCUCUCCCCUUCAGUCUGUCCUGUUAGUGAGCUCUGCAGUAUCAUUUAACUACCCCUGCAUUUUACAUUUUGGCUCCUUAACUGGACUGAAGACUCCCAGAGGGCAAGUGUUAUAUGAGUGAGUCUAUUAGUCAGCAGCUGUUUCUUCAGACUAGCUUCUAAGAAAUUAACCCUCUUUUUCAAUGGUCAGGCUCUAGCUUCUUGAUAAUUCAUAGCAAAAGAGAUUCCAUGCAAGUAAUGAGAGUAUACAGAUGCAUGUGGGUUAUUCUAGAGAUGGAGAGUAACUGGAAUCUCAGUAAUUUAAAGGGGACUCGACAUCUAAGGCUAAGGAUUAUGAAAUUCACAUCCUUAAAAGUUUCCUGCCUAAUUCUGCGUUCUAGCCAUCUUUCUCAGGGCACUGGGUUAAUAUGAAACAGAAAUGGCUCUCAAUCUACUUGUUUAAAAAAAAAAACCAUAAAAUAGCUAACAUUUAUCGCAUACCACCAUGCGCUUAGCAUUGCUCUAAGUGCCUCACAGGUAUCUUAUUUCAUUCUCAGUGGCCCUAUGAAUAGAUACUACCAUCACCUCUGUUUCACAGAACAGGUGAUUGAGCCAAGAAGCAUUUGCCUGUGCUCAGAGUGCUGGGAUGGGAAGAGCCAGAAAGUCAGCCCUGCACAAAAGCUGUUCCUCACUUCUGCACCACUCCAUCUUCCCUCCACCUACUUCCAAAUACAAGGGCUCUUCUCUUUGUCUUAAUGUAUCUUCAGGUACAAUACUUCACCACAGAAUUGAUGAAACUGAUCAAAAUUCUCUGAAUGAAAAUAGUGGAUUUUUUUAAACAAUCCACCCUUUCUACCUUCAUAAUUUCUGAUUGAGCUACUAUACAACUACAGGGGUGCCAUUCCCAUUGUCUUCUAUAUAAUAGUGGCUCUGGAUUUAUGCAAGGU